GGCACCAUGGCUUAGUUGGCUAAAGCACCUGCCUUGUAAGCAGGAGAUCCUGGGUUCAACUCCCAGUGGUGCCU
This 74-nucleotide transfer RNA is filed under the name Pelodiscus sinensis (Chinese soft-shelled turtle). It matches the Rfam family "tRNA". Rfam says of the family: Transfer RNA (tRNA) molecules are approximately 80 nucleotides in length. Their secondary structure includes four short double-helical elements and three loops (D, anti-codon, and T loops). The record is from Rfam by way of RNAcentral. Lineage: Eukaryota; Metazoa; Chordata; Testudines; Trionychidae.